RNAcentral lists this ribosomal RNA (238 nucleotides) under uncultured bacterium. RNAcentral describes it as "partial 16S ribosomal RNA". It matches the Rfam family "Bacterial small subunit ribosomal RNA", at positions 15 to 245 of the family's 1533-position model. The record is from RNAcentral.
GAUCCUGGCUCAGGAUGAACGCUAGCUACAGGCUUAACACAUGCAAGUCGAGGGGCAGCAUGAUUGAAGCUUGCUUCAAUCGAUGGCGACCGGCGCACGGGUGAGUAACACGUAUCCAACCUGCCGAUAACUCGGGGAUAGCCUUUCGAAAGAAAGAUUAAUACCCGAUAGUAUAGUAUUUCCGCAUGGUUUCACUAUUAAAGAACUUCGGUUAUCGAUGGGGAUGCGUUCCAUUAGA